This is a long non-coding RNA of Ochotona princeps (American pika), 554 nucleotides long. RefSeq lists it as uncharacterized. The transcript is spliced from 3 exons. The record is from RefSeq and is a predicted model, not a curated record. Lineage: Eukaryota; Metazoa; Chordata; Mammalia; Lagomorpha; Ochotonidae.
UAAUGUGCUAAUUGUCUAACAGCAGAGAAGCCAGCCCAAGCUGAUUAGCAGUCUGGCUUAGUGACUGUGUAGCUCAACUCCAUUUCUCCUGAAUGAUAUUUCAGCUGUUCAAGGAAAGAAAGGCGCAGGCUGGAGGGAUUAUAUGCCCUUAGUAUCAAGGGUAACAUAAGCUUAGGGGCACUUUGUAGCCGAGCACGAUCAUGAGCUCCUGGAGGGCAGACACUGCUGUUUAUUCAUCUCUGGCCACCACGGACUGCGUGCAGGCCCUGCACAUCCCUCCCUGAUCGCAGUCCCAGGACACGGGAGUAGAACAUUCACUGACACAUCGGGUUGUCUGCCAAACACUAGCAGCGAGGGGACCCUGGCUGCGGGGAGAGAGAACCCCGACAAUCGCUGCAGCCAGAUCAAGCAAGUGACACAGCGUUUGAAAGUCCCCGCGCCGCCCUGGGCAGCGAGUGGGAAUGAAAAGCCAUUCAAGCAAUGCUGGCACAAAUCAGUACAAGGUGUUCGCGACACAUGGACUCUCGCCCCAUCCCCAGGCCAGUAGAAGGUGG